Molecule: long non-coding RNA, 2364 nt
Organism: Tribolium castaneum (red flour beetle)
Lineage: Eukaryota; Metazoa; Arthropoda; Insecta; Coleoptera; Tenebrionidae
Exons: 2
Source: RefSeq, a predicted model, not a curated record
CCGGUUGCACAAAAGUCAAAUUAAUCGGCCAUCAUAUGAUGGUCCGUCAAAAAUUGAUGGCUUGUUAAUUUUGAUUGCGUUGCACAAAACAAUUUGCUCAUGUUUUAAUCGUUCAUCAUAUGAUGCUCCGUUAAUCAUCCAUUAGCAAAAAACCAAUUUGGCAACAAGGCCUUACGUCUUGAAUUUGUCAUUUGAUAUAUAUUUGACAGCCUGAUUUUUUUAUUAAUAUUGUGUUUUCUCGGACUUCGGGUUUUACUCAGUGCUUUAUUUGACGAUUUAACUUGUGUUCUUUCGUCUUCAAAAAGUUCUGUUUGGUGUAGACAAUCUAUGAUGCCAAAAGUGGUGUUUGUGGCCUUGUGUUGAUUUGUUAAUUCUAGUGAUAUGAAUUUAUGGAAAAUUUCAAGACUUAAAGGGUGCAAGAAGCAAAAUUUGCGUUGUGAAAUUUCGACGUGUUCGCAAACUCUCUAGUUUUCUUUUUUCGGGGGUUUUUGCCUUGUCACUAAGUGCCAAGGGGGUACCAAGAAGCGAUUCCUGAAGGCAAAACAAGGGAAUAGCCCUAAGGGUAGAUGAAGUUAGGUCGUAAAGGAAUCUACACGUGUUUAUUACCAAAAUCAAUAAACCUUGAUUUGAACAUUGGGGUUUUAUUUCAACUAAAACUAAUAAAGUUUUUGCAUAUCUUUUUUUGUUAAGUUAUUCGAACUGUUGGACAAUGCUGUUUAAAAGUGAAUCAUGCGCAUUAGCACAUUGGGAAGCAAUAAAGUGGAUAUUAUGUUAUUGGUUAAAAAAUGAGUUAUUCCUCGAAUUGUUGCAUUGAACAAACGAUACAAAUUCAUGUGUGAACGAGUUGUGUUGUGACUUUCUGUGAUAACCCUACAAAUGUUCUACAAAAGACAAAAAACCUAAAACGCAAAAAAAAUUGAAAUUGUGUUUGUGCACUGAGAGAUUUGAUUAGUUGCGUUUUGGUGCAAUUUUUACUCUGGUUUUUAUUUAAACUAAAGCGCUUUUUACACUCAUGGUUAACCAACAUCUCAAACAGAUCCUCAAGAUCUCUGAUUUUCUGCACAGGCCUCUCAGACACUUCACUCAUUUGCACAUAACCAUUCUCAUCCUAUAAAAUAAAUUCGAGGUUUUCUUCUUUAAUUCUUGUUAUUGUCUUACCUCUUAGGGAAUGGUUCAGUUUAGUUAAUGAAAUUUUAUCAAAAACACCUUAAAUUCUCAAACAACAAGUGUUAAAGAAGGUUAAUCAGAGAUUAAUCGCCCGUCGUUCGGCCAUCAAAUUGAUGAUUCGUUAAUCACUGAUUAACUAUGACAUUUGCCUUGAUUUGCGUUUGUGCAACGGAAAACGGAGUUAAUCAACGAUUAAUUGACAAUUAUCUUUGACGUUCAUCAAAUAUUUGAUGAGAGAUUAAUCAGCCGUCAACGGUGUUUUGUGUUGCACAAAAUUUUUGAUGGACGAUUAACGCUUUGUUAAUUGUCAAUUAUCUUUUGUGCAACCGGGCAUAAGUGUUUUCGUAUGAGUGUUAUUCAAAUUUUUUUUUGUUGGAACAUUUUAAUUUAAAACACGUUGCUGUGGGAAGCCGUGUUUUAAAAUAAUGUUUUUCUACUUCGGUUUCGUACUGAGGUCAUUACGAUACGCUAUUUGCGUAUCGUAAUAUCUAGAGUUCCUAUAUUGGGAGAUUUGGGACACUGAAUGUCAAUUUUCGAAAUUUUGUUUCAUAUACGUCCGCUGGAAUGUGUAAAAAACAAAUUGGGAUGGAAAUCAGUGGUGUUACACUUCAAAUUUGGCGAAAAGUCAAAUAAAUUUGUCAAAAAAUGUUUCCCUUUUUCGUCGACUAACUGCGUUUAGAAAUGGUUUAGACUAGCAGUCGUCGUCAAUUCACUGUUUUUCUUGAUAUGAACUUCAAAUUUUAAAAGAGAUUUUUUUAAAUGGUAAUCAUCGACGAAAGAGAGAAAAAUUCAACCUUUCCUGCCAAGUUUUAUGUUUAUUAUUAAAAAGCAUUUGGAAAAGUGGAUUGUCUAAACAAUGUUAUGUACAAAAUCUAUGAUAUUUUAGGAAUCUAUCUAUGCGUUUACAAAAUACGUAGGUACUUGAACCCAAAAUUGGGUCUAAUUUUUAGGAAAGUUGAACCUGUUGCUGUUUGGUCGCCUUUAGCUUCUACGUGAACUUUAGGUUCUGUUUCAAAUUAUAAUGUAAUUGGAAUUCACGAUUUUGUUACGUUUUUCACACGAGAAGACCUUCAAUAUAAUUUUUUUGGGAAAUUUAAAAAGACGACGGAAAAUAUGAUGGGUUCUUGAUGACCAAUUUUUGGGACGAGAUGUUUAACUUAAAAUUGUUACCGGAAGAAAGGCAUUUUUAGCAUUGAA